UAAAUUUUUAUAUUUUAUAUUUUAUUUGUAUGCAUAUGCAAAAUUAUUUUUGUGCCUCCACAAUAAAUAGCCAAGACUUAUUCACAUGGGGCUUAAGGUUUUUCUUCUUUUUUAGAUGCAAUGCGAUGCAACGAAAUAAAUUUUUAUUAUUUUUAAUGCAAUAUGAAUGUGCUGAAUGUGGAAAAGUAAAUAUGGUAAAGUAAAAACUAUGCAGGGAAGUAAAUAUGAGGAUAACUAUCAAUGUAACCUUUCGAUGAAGGUUCAGAGAUCUAGGUCUAUCAAACCGGACCUUCUGGCUCGAUCAUGCACUUGUGUCUAAGGGGACGGAGUCCUCCCCUAAUUUCUCCUCUUCUCUCUUUACCUGAUGAGCUGGG
RNAcentral lists this long non-coding RNA (374 nucleotides) under Sorghum bicolor (sorghum). RNAcentral describes it as "long non-coding RNA (SBIC_LNC006250)". The record is from RNAcentral. Lineage: Eukaryota; Viridiplantae; Streptophyta; Magnoliopsida; Poales; Poaceae.